RNAcentral lists this unclassified non-coding RNA (253 nucleotides) under uncultured Micrococcaceae bacterium. RNAcentral describes it as "contains 16S-23S intergenic spacer region". It matches the Rfam family "Bacterial small subunit ribosomal RNA", at positions 524 to 776 of the family's 1533-position model. The record is from RNAcentral. Lineage: Bacteria; Bacillati; Actinomycetota; Actinomycetes; Micrococcales; Micrococcaceae.
UACGUAGGGCGCGAGCGUUAUCCGGAAUUAUUGGGCGUAAAGAGCUCGUAGGCGGUUUGUCACGUCUGCUGUGAAAGCCCGGGGCUUAACCCCGGGUGUGCAGUGGGUACGGGCAGACUAGAGUGCAGUAGGGGAGACCGGAAUUCCUGGUGUAGCGGUGAAAUGCGCAGAUAUCAGGAGGAACACCGAUGGCGAAGGCAGGUCUCUGGGCAUUAACUGACGCUGAGGAGCGAAAGCAUGGGGAGCGAACAGG